GAUGAACGCUGGCGGCGUGCCUAAUACAUGCAAGUCGAGCGAACAGACGAGGAGCUUGCUCCUCUGACGUUAGCGGCGGACGGGUGAGUAACACGUGGAUAACCUACCUAUAAGACUGGGAUAACUUCGGGAAACCGGAGCUAAUACCGGAUAAUAUAUUGAACCGCAUGGUUCAAUAGUGAAAGACGGUUUUGCUGUCACUUAUAGCUGGAUCCGCGCCGCAUUAGCUAGUUGGUAAGGUAACGGCUUACCAAGGCAACGAUGCGUAGCCGACCUGAGAGGGUGAUCGGCCACACUGGAACUGAGACACGGUCCAGACUCCUACGGGAGGCAGCAGUAGGGAAUCUUCCGCAAUGGGCGAAAGCCUGACGGAGCAACGCCGCGUGAGUGAUGAAGGUCUUCGGAUCGUAAAACUCUGUUAUUAGUGAAGAACAAAUGUGUAAGUAACUAUGCACGUCUUGACGGUACCUAAUCAGAAAGCCACGGCUAACUACGUG
Molecule: ribosomal RNA, 497 nt
Filed under: uncultured bacterium
Lineage: Bacteria
Description: partial 16S ribosomal RNA
Rfam family: Bacterial small subunit ribosomal RNA
Source: RNAcentral